GACAUGCCAAGGUUAGCUAUUAUGUGACAAACUUCACUUGUCAAGUGAGGUAACUUUCAAAGUUACCUCACUUGACAAGUGAGGUAACUUUGUCACAUAAUAGCUUGUACCUUGGCAUGUC
Molecule: non-coding RNA, 121 nt
Organism: Paramuricea clavata
Lineage: Eukaryota; Metazoa; Cnidaria; Anthozoa; Malacalcyonacea; Plexauridae
Source: the annotation of a GenBank genome assembly